AAGUCGUAACAAGGUUUCCGUAGGUGAACCUGCGGAAGGAUUAUUAAAAAUGUUAAGAAUACUUUAUUCUUAAAUCCCUUCUGUGUACUUGUACUUGUUGCUUCCGUGGGCUGCUGGCUUUGUGCCAGCAUCUGCCUUGAUGGUGGACCCACAGAAGGUAUUCAUAAACUCUGCCCUUUGGUGAUAUCAGUCUGAAUAUGUUUAUUAAGUAAACUUUAAAACUUUCAACAACGGAUCUCUUGGUUCUC
This 248-nucleotide unclassified non-coding RNA is filed under the name fungal sp. Its description in RNAcentral is "partial internal transcribed spacer region". The stretch from base 1 to 46 matches the Rfam family "Eukaryotic small subunit ribosomal RNA", at positions 1786 to 1831 of the family's 1831-position model. The record is from RNAcentral. Lineage: Eukaryota; Fungi.